This 272-nucleotide unclassified non-coding RNA is filed under the name uncultured fungus. RNAcentral's name for it is "partial contains 18S rRNA, ITS1, 5.8S rRNA, ITS2 and 28S rRNA". The record is from RNAcentral. Lineage: Eukaryota; Fungi.
AAGGAUCAUUAUUGAAUGAACUUGGUGUGGUUGUUGCUGGCCCUUUCGGGGGCAUGUGCACACCCAUCAUCCUCAUCUCUCCACCUGUGCACCUCUUGUGGACUUGGAUUGACUUUCCGAGGCAACUCGGUCGGGAGGACUUGCUGGCUUUCCUUGCAUUUCCAAGUCUAUGUUUUUUCAUAUACCCCAUUGAAUGUAACAGAAUGUAACAUAUUGGGCCUUUGUGCCUAUAAAAACUUAUACAACUUUCAGCAACGGAUCUCUUGGCUCUC